CCCUUAGAUGUUCGGGGCCGCACGCGCGCUACACUGAAUGAAUCAGCGAGUGUAUGUCCUAGGCCGAAAGGUCCGGGUAACCCGUUGAACCUCAUUCGUGAUUGGGAUAGGGACUUGCAAUUGUUUCCCUUGAACGAGGAAUUCCUAGUAAGCACAAGUCAUCAGCUUGUGUUGAUUACGUCCCUGCCCUUUGUACACACCGCCCGUCGCUCCUACCGAUUGAAUGUUCCGGUGAGCUCUUCGGACUGCGCGGUCUGCAGUUUCUGCGUUCCGUGCGGAAAGUUGCGCAAACCUUAACAUUUAGAGGAAGGAGAAGUCGUAACA
RNAcentral lists this ribosomal RNA (324 nucleotides) under uncultured eukaryote. RNAcentral describes it as "partial 18S ribosomal RNA". It matches the Rfam family "Eukaryotic small subunit ribosomal RNA", at positions 1470 to 1796 of the family's 1831-position model. The record is from RNAcentral.